GAUGAACGCUGGCGGCGUGCCUAAUACAUGCAAGUCGAGCGAACAGAUAAGGAGCUUGCUCCUUUGACGUUAGCGGCGGACGGGUGAGUAACACGUGGGUAACCUACCUAUAAGACUGGAAUAACUCCGGGAAACCGGGGCUAAUGCCGGAUAACAUUUAGAACCGCAUGGUUCUAAAGUGAAAGAUGGUUUUACUAUCACUUAUAGAUGGACCCGCGCCGUAUUAGCUAGUUGGUAAGGUAACGGCUUACCAAGGCAACGAUACGUAGCCGACCUGAGAGGGUGAUCGGCCACACUGGAACUGAGACACGGUCCAGACUCCUACGGGAGGCAGCAGUAGGGAAUCUUCCGCAAUGGGCGAAAGCCUGACGGAGCAACGCCGCGUGAGUGAUGAAGGUCUUCGGAUCGUAAAACUCUGUUAUUAGGGAAGAACAAAUGUGUAAGUAACUGUGCACGUCUUGACGGUGCCUAAUCAGAAAGCCACGGCUAACUACGUG
This 497-nucleotide ribosomal RNA is filed under the name uncultured bacterium. Its description in RNAcentral is "partial 16S ribosomal RNA". It matches the Rfam family "Bacterial small subunit ribosomal RNA", at positions 28 to 507 of the family's 1533-position model. The record is from RNAcentral.